RNAcentral lists this ribosomal RNA (773 nucleotides) under uncultured Bacillota bacterium. RNAcentral describes it as "bacterial SSU rRNA". It matches the Rfam family "Bacterial small subunit ribosomal RNA", at positions 58 to 855 of the family's 1533-position model. The record is from RNAcentral. Lineage: Bacteria; Bacillati; Bacillota.
CAAGUCGAGCGAGGAGCAAUCCUAGCGGCGAACGGUCGCGUAACACGUAAGCAACCUGCCCCAAAGACCGGGACAACGUUCCGAAAGGAGCGCUAAUACCGGAUGUGGCCUUUCUGUGACAUCGCGGAAAGAUUAAAGCGAGCAAUCGGCUUUGGGAGGGGCUUGCGGCCUAUCAGCUAGAUGGUGGGGUAACGGCCUACCAUGGCGACGACGGGUAGCUGGUCUGAGAGGAUGGUCAGCCGGAUUGGGACUGAGAUACGGCCCAGACUCCUACGGGGGGCAGCAAUUAGGAAUCUUGCGCAAUGGGCGAAAGCCUGACGCAGCGACGUCGCGUGGGGGAGGAAGGCUUUCGGGUUGUAAACCCCUUUUAUCGAGGAAGAAACAAAUGACGGUACUCGAUGAAUAAGCCCCGGCUAACUCCGUGCCAGCAGCCGCGGUAAUACGGAGGGGGCGAGCGUUGUCCGAAGUUACUGGGCGUAAAGCGCGCGUAGGCGGGUUGGUAAGUCCGCUGUGAAAGCCCGGAGCUCAACUCCGGAGGGUCGGUGGAUACUGCCAGUCUUGAAGGUGCUAGGGGGAGAUGGAAUUACCGGUGUAGCGGUGAAAUGCGUAGAGAUCGGUAGGAACACCAGUGGCGAAGGCGGUCUCCUGGGGCAUUCUUGACGCUGAGGCGCGAAAGCUGGGGGAGCGAACGGGAUUAGAUACCCCGGUAGUCCCAGCCCUAAACGAUGGAUACUAGGUGUCGGGGGUAUCGACCCCUCCGGUGCCGCCGCUAA